UACGUAGGGUGCAAGCGUUGUCCGGAAUUAUUGGGCGUAAAGAGCUCGUAGGCGGUUUGUCGCGUCGGCUGUGAAAACCUGGGGCUCAACCCCGGGCCUGCAGCCGAUACGGGCAAGCUAGAGUUCGGUAGGGGAGACUGGAAUUCCUGGUGUAGCGGUGAAAUGCGCAGAUAUCAGGAGGAACACCGGUGGCGAAGGCGGGUCUCUGGGCCGAUACUGUCGCUGAGGAGCGAAAGCGUGGGGAGCAAACAGG
RNAcentral lists this ribosomal RNA (253 nucleotides) under uncultured bacterium. Its description in RNAcentral is "partial 16S ribosomal RNA". It matches the Rfam family "Bacterial small subunit ribosomal RNA", at positions 524 to 776 of the family's 1533-position model. The record is from RNAcentral.